Molecule: ribosomal RNA, 253 nt
Filed under: uncultured bacterium
Lineage: Bacteria
Description: partial 16S ribosomal RNA
Rfam family: Bacterial small subunit ribosomal RNA
Source: RNAcentral
UACGUAGGGAGCAAGCGUUGUCCGGAAUCAUUGGGCGUAAAGCGCGCGUAGGCGGCCUCAUAAGUCCGUUGUGAAAGUCAAAGGCUCAACCUUUGAAAGCCGAUGGAUACUGUGAGGCUAGAGUCCGGAAGAGGCGAGUGGAAUUCCUGGUGUAGCGGUGGAAUGCGCAGAUAUCAGGAGGAACACAAAUAGCGAAGGCAGCUCGCUGGGACGGUACUGACGCUAAGGCGCGAAAGCGUGGGGAGCGAACAGG